This 565-nucleotide long non-coding RNA is filed under the name Homo sapiens (human). Its description in RNAcentral is "HSALNT0038754". The record is from RNAcentral. Lineage: Eukaryota; Metazoa; Chordata; Mammalia; Primates; Hominidae.
AUGUGACAGAGUGGACUGGGCAUCUAAGUCCACUGGGGAAACAGCAGGAAACAGAACAGAUGGUUCGGCUUGCAUUCCGGUGGGGAGUUGGACAACACACGAGCAGAUCCAUAAAGUGAUAUCCGAGAGUGAUCUGUGCCGCCAAGAAAGGAAGACAGGUCCUGCGACAGGGCUGACUGUGGAGCCUCCUUAGCCAGGCUGGACAGGGAUGCCUCUCCCAGGAGCCCGCACUGGAGACUAGUGUGUCCCACCAGACUUCCACGUGGCCUGCGAGUGCUCAGCAAUAGUGACAACAGGGUCUCUACUCCAUGAAAAACCAUCCCCAGACCCGAAAGCACUGCUUUCAUUUCAUGGUUCUGCACAUUUUCUCCAGCCUCUGCAGUGAAAGAUUAUUUCAUUGCCUUCAACAGAAGGCGUAUUUGUGUGUGUACAUAUGCUUGAGAGAAAUUUACUGAAAAGAUGUGGGUACGAGACCAGCUGGCUGCACUUGCCACGCCAGGAUCCUCUCUCAGCAAUAUGCCCAAGAGCUCGUGUUUGCAAUGCUCGAGUCCCAGCCAGGGGAGAA